RNAcentral lists this long non-coding RNA (783 nucleotides) under Numida meleagris (helmeted guineafowl). RNAcentral describes it as "lncRNA (ENSNMEG00000004979.1)". Lineage: Eukaryota; Metazoa; Chordata; Aves; Galliformes; Numididae. The record is from RNAcentral.
GGAAAAUCCACCCACUCAUGAGGGUGGUGACAGCUUUGUAUACAAACUCUUGCUGCCCGCGAUACUGAGAUUGUGGAGGCUGAAAGACUGCAAGUGCUUGACGGGCAGGACUUUGACGAGAGCCAACAGGGAGCAGGAUUGGGUGGAUGUCUCUGGAGCUCACAUACAAGUGUUUCACAUCUACUAAGAUGUCCUGAAGUGUUCUAGACAUGGCAUAGGAUGACUGGAAGAUCUGAGGCUUCUGGAGUGACAAUUACGUGUUGGUUGGGAUGAUGUGCCAUAGCCAGAACAACAUGAAGUGCCCGUGUUGUGCCAACUAAACCACCUUCCUGCAGUGACAUGUGUAAGAGACUGCAAGUUUCAAAAGAGAAGAAAAAGUUGCUUUCCAUGAGAAACUAAAGAUUCGGCAUCUUGCAGGCAGUCAGAGGGACAGAAAACAUGGCUGAAAGAAGACGCACCAGCUUUGAUACCGACGAAAGUAUGGGCACAUCCUUUGGACCAAGUUCUCCAAGGGAUUUGUACCAUGCAGACAUCAGGUGGACCAUGAUAGGACUUCCGAGUCAGCAAGAAAGAUGCUUGUUGAAGAUGGAAGCAUCAGAAAGACUUGACCCACUCAAGGGGAAACUCUCCACUGGGGAGAGGAUCGUACCUGCACAACCAGUGGAGAGAAAUGAGCAGCCAUGGGGGGUGAGUCACACAAAAUUUGAAGCCUGUUUCAUGCCAGUUUCUCUGUACCAACUAUUACAUUGGCUGAGGUUGACUAGUUCAGAUUCAGAUGUCUAA